RNAcentral lists this ribosomal RNA (484 nucleotides) under uncultured bacterium. Its description in RNAcentral is "partial 16S ribosomal RNA". It matches the Rfam family "Bacterial small subunit ribosomal RNA", at positions 30 to 507 of the family's 1533-position model. The record is from RNAcentral.
AUUGAACGCUGGCGGCAGGCCUAACACAUGCAAGUCGAGCGGAUGAAGGGAGCUUGCUCCUGGAUUCAGCGGCGGACGGGUGAGUAAUGCCUAGGAAUCUGCCUGGUAGUGGGGGAUAACGUCCGGAAACGGGCGCUAAUACCGCAUACGUCCUGAGGGAGAAAGUGGGGGAUCUUCGGACCUCACGCUAUCAGAUGAGCCUAGGUCGGAUUAGCUAGUUGGUGGGGUAAAGGCCUACCAAGGCGACGAUCCGUAACUGGUCUGAGAGGAUGAUCAGUCACACUGGAACUGAGACACGGUCCAGACUCCUAUGGGAGGCAGCAGUGGGGAAUAUUGGACAAUGGGCGAAAGCCUGAUCCAGCCAUGCCGCGUGUGUGAAGAAGGUCUUCGGAUUGUAAAGCACUUUAAGUUGGGAGGUAGGGCAGUAAGUUAAUACCUUGCUGUUUUGACGUUACCAACAGAAUAAGCACCGGCUAACUUCGUG